CAGAAUUACAACUUGUUUGAAAUGUCAGAGAGAGUACUUGUACAUUUAUGCUUCCAUAAAUAUUCUUUUCUUUCUAUAUAUAGACUUUAUUGAACUAACUUUUGAUAUGCAUCAACCUUGUAGUAGAUUUCCUGAUCUUUUUCUUGGUUUCAAUCUUUGGCAAUAAGAGCUUGAAGGUUCUUUCAAAUGAGUGGAAGAAUGGUACUGAAUAUUUGACUGAAACCACCGGAGUCUCUGCUGUUGAAUGUCCCGCAAAAGAGGAAGACCUUUCUUUGAUAUGUGGGAUUCCUUUUCCACCACCAGAUACUACACAAACUGUCUCAAUGGAUUACUCGAAUAUAGAAGAAAAUAUCGUUGAGAAGAAAGAUGUCAGUGAGAUGAGGUGAGAGGAAAAUAUCACAGAGAAGAACGAUGACACUGACAUGAAGCGAAAACCAAAACCUAUUGUGUUCAAGUAUGAAGACGAACUGGAGGCUUUAAAGAGGAAGCUAAGAGAAGGAUGCAAGGAUGCAGAAGAAGCAAAGAAAAAGAGAAAGAUUACAAUCAUUGACAUGAAUGACCGACAAUCAGUACAAAGCCAUAACAAAAAGAAGCCUGAAGUAAAGCACGGAUGCCGCAUAAACAAAUUUAUCAAAAUGAGGCCUAAACAUAAUUGCCACUCUUCGAUUUGGUAGAUAGUUUCAGUUACUGUUUUCCAUUGAGUUUUAAAAAUAGCUUAUGUAAAUAUUUUGAUUGUAAAAUGUUUCUGUUGAUGUAAUGUCUCAGUUGUCUUUGUUUAUUUCUAAGUAAAAUUUUUUAUUUUCUGUAGUGUGAUAGACUGAUUUUCAAAAUGGUCCAUUGUAGUUAAGCUCGAAGAAUGUAUGCUAAGUCUCACCAUGUUUUUGCUCAAGCUCUCUGUCAUGCACUUUUUAUUGUCAGUUUCACCUGAAACUGAUAAAAAGAGCAAUGUUGAGUAGAUGAAAUGCCUGAUAUUGUAUGAGAA
Molecule: long non-coding RNA, 982 nt
Organism: Asparagus officinalis (garden asparagus)
Lineage: Eukaryota; Viridiplantae; Streptophyta; Magnoliopsida; Asparagales; Asparagaceae
Exons: 4
Source: RefSeq, a predicted model, not a curated record